CUAGGGCACAAAUAGGAACUUCUCUCAUUUCAAACACCACAACACAUACACAAAUAGCUAUUCUCUCAUUUCCAUGGUUAAACCCGUACCGAAAGCACCAAAGACCUUAAGGAACAUCGUGUCCUUCACCACCGAAACCACUGACACUCGACAGAAGAAGAAUUAAAACCUUUUCUCACUCUAAAACCUUUUUGUUUCUCUACAUUAAAGAAACCAUGUUCUUUACUUUGCUGAAACCAUUGUUCUUCACUUUACUGUGCUUUAGGUGUUGUAUUGUAUGUAUAUAUUUUUAUAUUUUCUUAUCUUAGUUGUAGAAACGAGUAUGAUUAUUUAAACCAUCAAAAGAUUGACAAAAUAUUGUGUAUUUGAGUCAAAAUCUAGUGGGUCUUAGCGAAACCCACUGGGUAUUUCAAUUUACUCUUAGUUUGGUGUAAUUUUGUUAUUUUGUUUGUUUUCAAAGUUCUGGUUCAUUGAAUUUCUUUGCAUGUGGGUUUUUAGUUUGUUCUCUUUUUUUUUUAUUUGGGUUUUCUUCCAUUGAUUUGGAUGUAUGUUUUAAACUGAGUCUUUAGAAGAAAUAAAAUGGUUUGAGAGCUUAGGAAUUAAAUUUUCUACUUGAAAAUAAUUCAUCUUAACAGGAUUGUAGUGAGAAGUUGGGUUCGAAGCUCGGUCCGUGGAAGCUGGUUGGUUCAGAAAUUACAAUUUCGGUUGAUUUAGCACUUUAAGGUAAUGGACAUUAGAAUUUAUUGAAGUUCGAUUCACUUAAGGUUCUGCAUUUUAGCUGCUGUUGAGGGACUGCUGCCUGCUAUUGAAGUUCUACUCACUUUAAGGUAAAUAGUUGAUUUGAGAUGACUCUGCUGGACGAAUGGAUACAGAGGAUUAUAUAGCUAACUUCAACUAUUUUUUAGGAUAUGGCUAGAGGCAGAGGUCGAGGUAGCGGAGGUUGUUUAGGUUUGUUAGAUAUGGGAUGCAAAACAAAGCUCAUCACUUUACAAUGGAACAAAGUUCAGGAGCCUGAACGUGACACGUGCUCCCUCAAACAUUGACAAUCACGUUGAUAGUAUUAUAUUUCGUAUUCUUGCACAUCGAUUAUUCGUAAGCGGAGGUGGGGCCCACACAUCGAGUUUUUUUUGGAACACGUGACAAGUUAUAUGAAUCACGUAUGUGAAGUUAAACACAUCUCAAGAAGGACCCUUGAGCCAAAUCAAAGUGGGAGCCCUCCAAACAAAUAUUUUUAAGUUACGUUUUUGGGUGAUCUGACUUCGGGAGGCCAUAACCCCAUCAGUGUUUGGGAAUUUGGGAAAACUCCCAGAAUUAAAGUUGUAUAUAAUUGCAUUAUCUUUCCAACCAUAGGUCGUGGGUCCAUAGGUGACGUCGGGGUAAGGAGAUACGGACGUUUUAAGGCAGAAAGGUCAGUGGGCUAGGCCCAAUCCGGGCCCAACCGGGUUAGGCCCAUGACCCAUGUCUAUUUAAGUGAAAUAUCAGCCCUUUUCUCCUCAAUUUUCAUACCAAAACACCAGAAAAUUCUGGAGAGAGAGAGAGAGAGAAGAGCCUUGGAGAGAAGAAAAACCAAUUUUGAUCAAAAUCUGAGUCCCGAAUCCCGAAUCCCGAAGCCCAUGAAGAGAAAAGUGUUGUACGCUGCGUCGUCUUCAAUUUGAGCUAAAAAUCAACCAAGGGGAAGAGUGAUAACGUGGUGGAUGCAUGCUUAAGAUUACGAGGCUACGAAUAAUUCUUAAGCGAGUUGCAAGAUGGGAAGUAAGUUGAAAGUCGGGAAUCAUCUUCCAGGUACACCCAGAUGAAUAGAAGCCAUUAUAGAGGAUGUUCCAGCAGAGUUGGCAAGCUCCAUUUGCCCCUGGAGUGUUGCCGGGUCAGAGUAUUAUGCUAUGACGUCUUGUUCGAAGUUAGAGACUUUGCAGACAGAGUCGUGGGUAUAGAAUGUCAGUCUUUAUGGUGGAUACAACUUCGAUGUAGGGAAUGAUCCCAAGCAAGAGUCUCAUAUUUCCCUUCAUCUUGGUUUGACAUAUUAUAGAACAUUCGUGUGAGCAAAUUUAAGUUCUAUGUGGGAGAGAUUUCUUGUUUCAUCUGAAGAUGAUUGUAUACAGUGUCAGCACAUAUCAAGUCCUCUUGGUAAUGGUGCAGUUGUGGAGACUUCUGACAGAAGAAUACUUGUGCUUCAGAGAAGUAAUAAAGUUGGAGAAUUCCCUGGAUAUUUUGUUUUUUCUUGGAGGCCAUCUAGAGGUAUCUCAUCUCAUGUUGUAAGUUGCUGUUGAAAAGGGUCGAGAUCCAAUACCAAGUAAGGUACAUUUGCAUGCCCAUACACAUGAUCAUGAUGGAGAAUUCAUGAUGGAGAAUCUUUUGUUGAUGAGCAUGCCCGAGCUGUCCAUGAAAGAUAUGAAGAAAUAUUACGGGAAAAAUCACAGUCUCAAUCUAAUAUUGAUCAAAGUGAAGCAUAU
RNA transcript from Lycium barbarum (goji berry), 2450 nucleotides. RefSeq lists it as uncharacterized. The transcript is spliced from 13 exons. Lineage: Eukaryota; Viridiplantae; Streptophyta; Magnoliopsida; Solanales; Solanaceae. The record is from RefSeq and is a predicted model, not a curated record.